RNAcentral lists this ribosomal RNA (252 nucleotides) under uncultured bacterium. RNAcentral's name for it is "partial 16S ribosomal RNA". It matches the Rfam family "Bacterial small subunit ribosomal RNA", at positions 524 to 775 of the family's 1533-position model. The record is from RNAcentral.
GACGAACCGUGCAAACGUUGUUCGGAAUCACUGGGCUUAAAGGGCGCGUAGGCGGGCUGUCAAGUCAGGGGUGAAAUCUUUCGGCUCAACCGGAUAACUGCCUUUGAUACUGACAGUCUUGAGGGAGGUAGGGGCAUGUGGAACUUCCGGUGGAGCGGUGAAAUGCGUUGAUAUCGGGAGGAACGCCGGUGGCGAAAGCGACGUGCUGGGCCUCUUCUGACGCUGAGGCGCGAAAGCUAGGGGAGCGAACGG